This 66-nucleotide transfer RNA is filed under the name uncultured Gemmiger sp. It matches the Rfam family "tRNA". Rfam says of the family: Transfer RNA (tRNA) molecules are approximately 80 nucleotides in length. Their secondary structure includes four short double-helical elements and three loops (D, anti-codon, and T loops). Lineage: Bacteria; Bacillati; Bacillota; Clostridia; Eubacteriales; Oscillospiraceae. The record is from RNAcentral.
GGCAUAGCUCAACUGGCAGAGCAGCUGAUUUGUAAUCAGCAGGUUGCAGGUUCGAUUCCUGUUGCC